Plicaturopsis crispa FD-325 SS-3 is the source of this 76-nucleotide transfer RNA. It matches the Rfam family "tRNA". Rfam says of the family: Transfer RNA (tRNA) molecules are approximately 80 nucleotides in length. Their secondary structure includes four short double-helical elements and three loops (D, anti-codon, and T loops). NCBI's taxonomy places the organism in Eukaryota, Fungi, Basidiomycota, Agaricomycetes, Amylocorticiales, Amylocorticiaceae. The record is from Rfam.
UGAGUUGUAGUUUAAUUUGGAAAAACACCAUUUUUUGGUAAUGGCUUUAAUAUCAGUUCGAAUCUGGUCGACUCAG